This 232-nucleotide ribosomal RNA is filed under the name uncultured bacterium. Its description in RNAcentral is "partial 16S ribosomal RNA". It matches the Rfam family "Bacterial small subunit ribosomal RNA", at positions 104 to 334 of the family's 1533-position model. The record is from RNAcentral.
CGGGGUGAGUAACGCGUGGGUAACCUACCCUGUACACACGGAUAACAUACCGAAAGGUAUGCUAAUACAGGAUAAUAUAUUUGAGAGGCAUCUCUUGAAUAUCAAAGGUGAGCCAGUACAGGAUGGACCCGCGUCUGAUUAGCUAGUUGGUAAGGUAACGGCUUACCAAGGCGACGAUCAGUAGCCGACCUGAGAGGGUGAUCGGCCACAUUGGAACUGAGACACAGUCCAA